UGGGGAAUAUUGCACAAUGGGCGAAAGCCUGAUGCAGCAACGCCGCGUGAAGGAAGAAGGUCUUCGGAUUGUAAACUUCUAUCAGUAGGGAAGAAAAAAUGACGGUACCUAACUAAGAAGCUCCGGCUAACUACGUGCCAGCAGCCGCGGUAAUACGUAGGGAGCAAGCGUUAUCCGGAUUUACUGGGUGUAAAGGGUGCGUAGGCGGCCAUCUAAGUCUAAAGUGAAAUUUCGGGGCUCAACCCCGGAGCUGCUUUGGAAACUGGGAGGCUAGAGUAUAGGAGAGG
This 287-nucleotide ribosomal RNA is filed under the name uncultured Lachnospiraceae bacterium. RNAcentral describes it as "partial 16S ribosomal RNA". It matches the Rfam family "Bacterial small subunit ribosomal RNA", at positions 355 to 657 of the family's 1533-position model. The record is from RNAcentral. Lineage: Bacteria; Bacillati; Bacillota; Clostridia; Lachnospirales; Lachnospiraceae.